AUGCUGCUGAACCCGGCCUCGGAGGCGCUGGUGCUCGACAGCAUCCGGCAGCACCUCAUGGAGGACACGGCGGCCGCGGCGGCGCCGGUGGCGGAGGCGAGGCGGCAGCGGCCGGCCUACUGCCGCAGCGCCAGCUUCGGGAGCCUGGUGGCGGACCAGUGGAGCGAGUCGCUCCCGUUCCGCGCCGACGACUCCGACGACAUGGUCGUCUACGGCGCCCUCCGCGACGCCUUCUCCUGCGGCUGGCUCCCCGACGGCUCCUUUGCCGCCGUCAAGCCGGAGCCCCUCCUGCCUUCCCCGGACUCUGCCUACGCGUGCGACGGCCCGUCCUGCUUCGGUUUCCUCGAGCCGGAGACGCCCCCCGCCACGUCCCCGGGCGAGGGCGAGGAGGAGGGCGCGGCGUUCAUGGGCGAGGCGGCCGCCGCGGUGGCGAGGGGCAAACACUACCGCGGGGUGCGGCAGCGGCCGUGGGGCAAGUUCGCGGCGGAGAUCCGGGACCCGGCCAAGAACGGCGCGCGCGUGUGGCUCGGCACCUACGACACCGCCGAGGACGCCGCCGUGGCCUACGACCGCGCCGCGUACCGCAUGCGCGGCUCCCGCGCGCUCCUCAACUUCCCGCUCCGCAUCGGCUCCGAGAUCGCCGCCGCGCACGCCGCGGCCGCGGCCGCCGGGGACAAGCGGCCGUCACCCGAGCCCGCGACCUCGGACUCGUCAUCCUCGUCCUCCUCCUCCGGGUCCCCGAAAAGGAGGAAGAGGGGCGAGGCCGCGGCCGCGUCGAUGGCCAUGGCGCUGGUGCCGCCGCCCUCGCAGCUGAGCCGGCCAGCCCACGCGUGGUACCCCGCCGCGCCGGUGGAGCAGGUGGCCAUGGCGCCGCGCGCGCAGCAGCUGGUCAGCUAG
RNAcentral lists this ribosomal RNA (897 nucleotides) under Triticum aestivum (bread wheat). Its description in RNAcentral is "partial small subunit ribosomal RNA". Lineage: Eukaryota; Viridiplantae; Streptophyta; Magnoliopsida; Poales; Poaceae. The record is from RNAcentral.